This 371-nucleotide ribosomal RNA is filed under the name uncultured bacterium. RNAcentral describes it as "bacterial SSU rRNA". It matches the Rfam family "Bacterial small subunit ribosomal RNA", at positions 527 to 896 of the family's 1533-position model. The record is from RNAcentral.
GUAGGUGGCGAGCGUUGUCCGGAUUUACUGGGCGUAAAGAGCGCGCAGGCGGUCGUACAAGUCGCGUGUGAAAGCCCCCGGCUCAACUGGGGAGGGUCACGCGAUACUGUUCGACUCGAAGGCAGGAGAGGGAAGUGGAAUUCCCGGUGUAGUGGUGAAAUGCGUAGAUAUCGGGAGGAACACCAGUGGCGAAGGCGACUUCCUGGCCUGUUCUUGACGCUGAGGCGCGAAAGCUAGGGUAGCAAACGGGAUUAGAUACCCCGGUAGUCCUAGCCGUAAACGAUGGACACUAGGUGUUGGUGGUAUCAACCCCGCCAGUGCCGAAGCUAACGCAUUAAGUGUCCCGCCUGGGGAGUACGGCCGCAAGGCUA